UGGGGAAUAUUGCGCAAUGGACGAAAGUCUGACGCAGCGACGCCGCGUGGGUGACGAAGGUUUUCGGAUCGUAAAACCCUGUCAGAGGGAACGAACUAACCUUGGGGAAUAAUACCCCCUUGGCCUGACGGUACCCUCAGAGGAAGCACCGGCUAACUCCGUGCCAGCAGCCGCGGUAAAACGGAGGGUGCAAGCGUUGUUCGGAAUUACUGGGCGUAAAGCGCUCGUAGGCUGGACAGGAAGUUGGGUGUGAAAGCCCUCGGCUCAACCGAGGAAUUGCGCCCAAAACCACUGACCUAGAGUAUCGGAGAGGAUCGGGGAAUUCCCAGUGUAGAGUUGAAAUUCGUAGAUAUUGGGAGGAACACCGGUAGCGAAGGCGCUGAUCUGGACGAUAACUGACGCUGAGGAGCGAAAGCGUGGGUAGCAAACAGG
Molecule: ribosomal RNA, 432 nt
Filed under: uncultured bacterium
Lineage: Bacteria
Description: bacterial SSU rRNA
Rfam family: Bacterial small subunit ribosomal RNA
Source: RNAcentral